AUUGAACGCUGGCGGCAGGCCUAACACAUGCAAGUCGAGCGGAUGAAGGGAGCUUGCUCCUGGAUUCAGCGGCGGACGGGUGAGUAAUGCCUAGGAAUCUGCCUGGUAGUGGGGGAUAACGUCCGGAAACGGGCGCUAAUACCGCAUACGUCCUGAGGGAGAAAGUGGGGGAUCUUCGGACCUCACGCUAUCAGAUGAGCCUAGGUCGGAUUAGCUAGUUGGUGGGGUAAAGGCCUACCAAGGCGACGAUCCGUAACUGGUCUGAGAGGAUGAUCAGUCACACUGGAACUGAGACACGGCCCAGACUCCUACGGGAGGCAGCAGUGGGGAAUAUUGGACAAUGGGCGAAAGCCUGAUCCAGCCAUGCCGCGUGUGUGAAGAAGGUCUUCGGAUUGUAAAGCACUUUAAGUUGGGAGGAAGGGCAGUAAGUUAAUACCUUGCUGCUUUGACGUUACCAACAGAAUAAGCACCGGCUAACUUCGUG
Molecule: ribosomal RNA, 484 nt
Filed under: uncultured bacterium
Lineage: Bacteria
Description: partial 16S ribosomal RNA
Rfam family: Bacterial small subunit ribosomal RNA
Source: RNAcentral